Molecule: ribosomal RNA, 116 nt
Filed under: Pteropus alecto (black flying fox)
Lineage: Eukaryota; Metazoa; Chordata; Mammalia; Chiroptera; Pteropodidae
Source: RNAcentral
GUCUAUGGCCAUGCCACCCUGAACAAGCCUGAUGUCUGAUCUUGGAAGGUAAGCAGGGUUGGGCCUGGUUAGUACUUGGAUGGGAAACCACCUAGGAAGACCAGGUGCUGUAGGCA